GACGAACGCUGGCGGCGUGCUUAACACAUGCAAGUCGAACGGAAAGGCCCUGCUUUUGUGGGGUGCUCGAGUGGCGAACGGGUGAGUAACACGUGAGUAACCUGCCCUUGACUUUGGGAUAACUUCAGGAAACUGGGGCUAAUACCGGAUAGGAGCUCCUGCUGAAUGGUGGGGGUUGGAAAGUUUCGGCGGUUGGGGAUGGACUCGCGGCUUAUCAGCUUGUUGGUGGGGUAGUGGCUUACCAAGGCUUUGACGGGUAGCCGGCCUGAGAGGGUGACCGGCCACAUUGGGACUGAGAUACGGCCCAGACUCCUACGGGAGGCAGCAGUGGGGAAUAUUGCACAAUGGGCGGAAGCCUGAUGCAGCAACGCCGCGUGCGGGAUGACGGCCUUCGGGUUGUAAACCGCUUUCGCCUGUGACGAAGCGUGAGUGACGGUAAUGUGUAAAGAAGCACCGGCUAACUACGUG
RNAcentral lists this ribosomal RNA (468 nucleotides) under uncultured bacterium. RNAcentral describes it as "partial 16S ribosomal RNA". It matches the Rfam family "Bacterial small subunit ribosomal RNA", at positions 28 to 507 of the family's 1533-position model. The record is from RNAcentral.